AGGCAGCUGACGUCACGGGGGCAGUGACGUCAUCAGUGACGCUGCUGACCCCGCCCCUCCCGCUGCAGAGCCGGCGAAGACGGAGUGGGACAGGUUCGAGUACGAUUACGACUCUCUGCGCCUCGGGGGUCUCAUCGUGGCCGGGGAUUUUCUUCGUGCUCGGGAUCCUCCUCAUCCUCAGUCGCCAUUGCCGCUGCAAGUUCGACCAACAGCCCAAGACGGGGGAGCCGGACGAGGCCGAGGGCGCGCUGCGGCAAUCGAUGAGGCGUCUCUCCACCCGCAUGAGAUGAAAUUUUGGGAUCCCCGAAAUUCCGGCCGGACGGAGCCGCCGCACCCCAAAACCCCAAAAUCCCCAAAAUCCCCCCAAAAUCCCCCCCAAAUCCCCCCAAAAUCCCCAAAAAACCC
Haemorhous mexicanus (house finch) is the source of this 405-nucleotide long non-coding RNA. RefSeq lists it as uncharacterized. The transcript is spliced from 5 exons. NCBI's taxonomy places the organism in Eukaryota, Metazoa, Chordata, Aves, Passeriformes, Fringillidae. The record is from RefSeq and is a predicted model, not a curated record.